GGGGCUGACUUGGAUUUCGACAGAUUUCUUGUCGCACAGAUAGCAUGCCAAGCGCUGCUUGUAAAACAGCAACAAAAAUAACUGUAAACAACGCAGAUUACGCUCCAGCUUACGCUAAAGUUGCGUGAGUUAAUCUCCUUUUGGAGCUGGACUGAUUAGAAUUUCUAGCGUUUUAAUCACUCCAUAACCUUAAGCUAGACGCUUUUAAAAGGUGGUUCGCCUUUUAAACUAAGAAACAAGAACUCUUGAAACUAUCUCAAGGUUUUAGAAAGUUGGACCAGAGCUAGUUUUAAGGCUAAAAACUAACCAAUUUUCUAAGCAUUGUAGAAGUUUGUGUUUAGGGCAAGAUUUUUGGACUGGGGUUCGAUUCCCCACAGCUCCACCA
RNAcentral lists this transfer-messenger RNA (385 nucleotides) under Helicobacter pylori. RNAcentral describes it as "Standard tmRNA". It matches the Rfam family "transfer-messenger RNA". From Rfam's summary of the family: Bacterial tmRNA, also known as 10Sa RNA or SsrA, is named for its dual tRNA and mRNA-like properties. Its role is to liberate the mRNA from a stalled ribosome. Lineage: Bacteria; Pseudomonadati; Campylobacterota; Epsilonproteobacteria; Campylobacterales; Helicobacteraceae. The record is from RNAcentral.